UCCUACGGGAGGCAGCAGUGAGGAAUAUUGGUCAAUGGGAGAGAUCCUGAACCAGCCAAGCCGCGUGAGGGAAGACGGCCCUAUGGGUUGUAAACCUCUUUUGUCGGAGAACAAAACCCGGGACGUGUCCCGGACUGCGUGUAUCCGAAGAAAAAGCAUCGGCUAACUCCGUGCCAGCAGCCGCGGUAAUACGGAGGAUGCGAGCGUUAUCCGGAUUUAUUGGGUUUAAAGGGAGCGUAGAUGGGUUGUUAAGUCAGUUGUGAAAGUUUGCGGCUCAACCGUAAAAUUGCAAUUGAUACUGGCGU
This 305-nucleotide ribosomal RNA is filed under the name uncultured bacterium. RNAcentral describes it as "bacterial SSU rRNA". It matches the Rfam family "Bacterial small subunit ribosomal RNA", at positions 337 to 639 of the family's 1533-position model. The record is from RNAcentral.